UACGGAGGGUGCGAGCGUUAAUCGGAAUUACUGGGCGUAAAGCGUGCGUAGGCGGAUUGUUAAGCGAGAUGUGAAAUCCCGGGGCUCAACCUCGGAACUGCAUUUCGAACUGGCAGUCUAGAGUAUUGUAGAGGGUGGUGGAAUUUCCAGUGUAGCGGUGAAAUGCGUAGAGAUUGGAAGGAACAUCAGUGGCGAAGGCGGCCACCUGGACAAAUACUGACGCUGAGGCACGAAAGCGUGGGGAGCGAACAGG
Molecule: ribosomal RNA, 253 nt
Filed under: uncultured bacterium
Lineage: Bacteria
Description: partial 16S ribosomal RNA
Rfam family: Bacterial small subunit ribosomal RNA
Source: RNAcentral